Molecule: long non-coding RNA, 319 nt
Organism: Sceloporus undulatus (fence lizard)
Lineage: Eukaryota; Metazoa; Chordata; Lepidosauria; Squamata; Phrynosomatidae
Exons: 3
Source: RefSeq, a predicted model, not a curated record
CCAUUUAAUGGCGCCUGAAGGAACGGGAGGAACGGAUUCCCUAAGGCUUCUCUUUGAUUUUGAACCACCUCCGCCUACACUUGAGCCUUGGGCGAUGGCUGUGCAACUCAGCUAGAAUGCCGACCUUCUUCACUUGAGCUUGGGGAAGGAAGACACAAAGCAAGCUGCCUGAAUAAAAGACACAGCCGCAUCCUACCUUUAGUCUUCAGAAGUUAAAGAAAAAGGAAGGUACAGUUUUCUUCAUGAUGACGUGACAUGCAACACAGAAAAGAUAAUCAACGACCCGAUUUCUUUGUAAGCUGCCCCGAUUGCAUUUUGU